Long non-coding RNA from Episyrphus balteatus (marmalade hoverfly), 1337 nucleotides. RefSeq lists it as uncharacterized. The record is from RefSeq and is a predicted model, not a curated record. NCBI's taxonomy places the organism in Eukaryota, Metazoa, Arthropoda, Insecta, Diptera, Syrphidae. The transcript has 4 exons.
UGAUUUUGUACUUAUAUAGGUAUAUGGAAUGACCUUGAAUAAAUAAUCUUAAAUCAUAAAACAUAAAUAAGAAAACAAAAAUAUACAAAGAGGCAUUUAUGGGAUCGGUGGGUAUCAACCCCUAUGGCGAAAUACCAAUGAAUACGCAACAACAUUAUGCCACAAGAAAAACUCGCAAAAAAUGUGAUUAUAAAAUCCGGAGUCAUAGAUCCAGCUGUGAUUCCUAGAGCCGCAGAGUGGUCGAGCAUCGUGCUUCUAGUGGAAGACUUUAUUACUAGCUAUUCGUGAUAUGAAGGCAGCACGAAUUGCAAUUCACCGACGUGCUGCUCCGCAGACUGUUAUUCCACCACCAAUGAAUCAGGUUCAUCACAUUUUUAUCAAACCCACACAUGCAUAGCGAUGGAUAGACAGCGGAACCUUUUUAUUCUUCUCUGACGUAUAGUAAUGCAGUAAAAGCAGUCGCUGCUGAUCAAACUAUCAAGAUGGCCGAACUCAAGGAGUCCAAGGAAAAAGGAUAUAAGUAGCAAAAGUGGUGAUACCAUUAAGAUUCGAACUGGGUCAGAGUCGAGUGUUGAAGAAGUUUGAAUUAAAAAACCCAAAAGUUUCAACGGAAGUGAAAGCAGUAAAGAAAUCACCAAAUGAAGCAGCCAAUAUGGAAGCGGCAAUGGAAGAGAAAGUUUGAGCAGCGAAAGAACGUGCCUUAGUACCACUCGGAACACAUGUUAAAUAAUUCAAAGAAAUGCUUCGUGAAAAAGAUUUCAUUCAAGCUUUUGGAAUUUUUGCGAGCAUGGCCGACUACACUCAUCAAACAUUCGUUUGUUGUUGAAAUUUUACUUGGAGGCUUCGAACAACACUCAGCUGCAUAGCUCGGUGCGUAUAAACACUGGCAUACAUUGGCUGGUUAAUAAGAAAGUAAUUUUCACACAGGAGCUCGUUGAACUUAUCAUUCAGGUUGUCUUCCAGUUAAUGGCCAAUGAACCAGAACCGACUGGCGAUCAGGAAGGACACUUUCUUAGUGAAAUCUAACUUGAACCCAAUUGUUCGUAAUGCCUCCAGUGGCGAAGAUAAAAAUAUGCCGCUGACACACCACCGUUGCUAGAAAGAAGAAUAACAUGCAUGUUUGGAUUCGUUCGAUGUUGGCUGCAGCAUGCAUUCAUGCAAUGCUGAAUUCAGAAGUAACGAGUUUGCUUCGGCAACAAGUGCUUGAUCUGUGAUGUGAAGUGAAUUUGUUUAAAAAUAUGAACAUUAACAAAUAAAAUAUUUUAUAAAUUCAAAAUAAUUUCUCUUUUUUCAUUUUAUUUUUAUUUUUUUUUCCUCCCUCCUGGUGAGUAUUGAAU